Molecule: ribosomal RNA, 490 nt
Filed under: uncultured bacterium
Lineage: Bacteria
Description: partial 16S ribosomal RNA
Rfam family: Bacterial small subunit ribosomal RNA
Source: RNAcentral
AUUGAACGCUGGCGGCAGGCCUAACACAUGCAAGUCGAACGGUAACACGAUGAGGCUUUCUUCUUUGCUGAGGAGUGGCGCGGGCGUGUGUGAUGUCCAGGGAACUCUACGAUGUAGGGGGAUAACUAGUGGAAACGGUAACUAUUACAGCACAACCUCGCUACGCCAGAGAGCAGGACCUUCUCGCCCCUUGCGCUCGGGUAUGCGCCGAUGGGAUUAGCUAGUAGGUGGGGUAACGGCUCACCCAGGCGACGAUCCGUAGCUGGUCUGAGAGGAUGAUCAGCCACACUGGAACUGAGACACGGUCCAGACUCCUACGGGAGGCAGCAGUGGGGAAUAUUGGACAAUGGGCGCAAGCCUGAUGCAGCCAUGCCGCGUGGAUGAAGAAGGCCUUCGGGUUGUAAAGUACUUUUGGCGGGGAGGAAGAGAGGAAGGUUAAUACCUCUGCGUAUUGACGGUACCCGCAGAAGAAGCACCGGCUAACUCCGUG